GAUGAAGAACGUAGCGAAAUGCGAUAAGUAAUGUGAAUUGCAGAAUUCAGUGAAUCAUCGAAUCUUUGAACGCACAUUGCGCCCCCUGGUAUCCCGGGGGGCAUGCCUGUUCGAGCGUCAUUACAACCCUCAAGCUCUGCUUGGUGUUGGGCCCCGCCGCCCCGGCGGGCCCUAAAAUCAGUGGCGGUGCCGUCCGGCUCCGAGCGUAGUAAUUCUUCUCGCUCUGGAGGUCCGGGUGUGUGCUCGCCAGCAACCCCCAAUUUUUUUCAGGUUGACCUCGGAUCAGGUAGGGAUACCCGCUGAACUUAAGCAUAUCAAUAAGCGGAGGA
This 329-nucleotide unclassified non-coding RNA is filed under the name soil metagenome. Its description in RNAcentral is "partial contains 5.8S ribosomal RNA, internal transcribed spacer 2, and large subunit ribosomal RNA". The stretch from base 1 to 120 matches the Rfam family "5.8S ribosomal RNA", at positions 35 to 154 of the family's 154-position model. The record is from RNAcentral.